UAUGCUAAAUCCUCUCGGGGAAGAGGAAGAUAGCUCCAGUUUCACUGCCUAAGUGUCUGUUCCAUUUAAAGGAUAUUAGUAGCCAAAUGAAAAAUGCAUGAAUCAAUCAGCAACAAGGACCUUGAUCUCCAAAUGAGACAAUGCUGAGCUUUGAGAUUUAUGGUCUUGCUUCCAGAAUUCCAUUAUUUGGAGGAACAACAACAAUAACAAUGGGAGAUGACAUCAGAAUAUGCUUUGAGGAGUUUACAGAAUGGCAAUGGAAUGGACUGCACGUGAGUCCACAAUGAAUCUGUAACCUUUGAGAAAAAGGUAACUGUGCUUAUGAGCCUUGAAGAAUUAGAAUGUCUGUACAACUUUGGGAAGAAAAAAAUGUAACUUGGGGGGAAGGCAAACAGUAAAGAUAGGUAGGAUUUACAGCUGUCAGUUUGCAGAAAAUUCUACCUUUUUGAAUGCAUUUGUCUCUUUCAAGUUUUCCUUGAAAGAAAAUGCUAACAGAUAAGAAGUAUCUGAG
This 511-nucleotide long non-coding RNA is filed under the name Coturnix japonica (Japanese quail). Its description in RNAcentral is "lncRNA (ENSCJPG00005007446.1)". Lineage: Eukaryota; Metazoa; Chordata; Aves; Galliformes; Phasianidae. The record is from RNAcentral.